UUCUAUACAUUUGUAGUUAGAUCUAAAUACUUGAUCGGGUUCAGCUUUUUUGAUUUUUGAUUCUUUUUGACAGGACACUUCAUAGAUGGUGGUGUGCACUUCCAUCAGGGGGCACGUAACGUCAGUUUCCCUCUUUUCAUGGUAUUGGUGAUGACACUGAUGAUUAAUUGAGGAUCGUUGUCUAAAUCUGUCUAUUGAUUAGGGAUUUCUAAAAUUGUGAUAGUCUAAAUCUAUCAUUCCUUUGGGAUUUACUUGCUGGAAAACUUCUGUAAGGAGAAAUUCUCUGUAUCAAACUCUCUGGUUGCCUUGAGGUAUGGUUUAUAUAGGUAAGGAAUAUAAUGGUUUGAUUUUUUCUCCUUUCAGAAUAAGCAGUUGGUUUCUUAGUAUCCUCCAUAGACACCAUAUGAACUCAUGUAUUUAAAUAUAUUUGAUUUGUUAAAUUUAUUGUACUUGUUAUCCUUAUUGAGGCUAAAGAUUGUCCUGUCUUUGGCCAAUGGGUACCUCUUCAGGUUGGUUCCUGGGUCCUUUUGAAUGACCUUAGUAGUCUCAUUGCUUCCUUGCCAUCUGGUAUGAAGGAUGCUCCAGGCUUAUAUUGUCUGUUUCCUACCUCAGACCUGAAUUAGUAUCUCUGGGGACUCCCGGUUUCUUUCAGAGGAAAACAGUACUUAUAGAUACAAUCUGGAUGCUGAGACUGCUUAUUGCUACUGGUCUUGUCAUUAUUUUUAAGCCCUUUUGGUGGACAGAGAUAGGAAAUACAAUUAAGAAAAUAUAUUCUGAGUUCAUACUGAUAUUUCCCUUUCAAAUUCAGGACUACAGGAUUUUUAUAGUACCUCAUUGAUCUAACAUCUGUCCGUAUCACUUUUCCUCCACACCAAAAGUCCUGGCUCUUAACGUUACGAUCGCAGCCUCAGAAUAGCAAUACCAACACUAUUGCCCACAGUAUGAAUAUUGGAAACAGUUUAAGAUUUAUUGUUGUUACUUUUUGAAAUUCUUUUUGUCCUUAGGAUUUAUUCCACUAGAGAGGCCCAGUUAAGUUGUGUUUUAAAAUCACUUCAAAUAGUUUCUCUCUGUGGUUAUGCUAUGGAAUGGAUAUAUAAUUAGUUUUGUUUCUUCGUUUUACUUUUGAUUUUAGAGAUUUCAUUUUUAUUACUUAAUUUGCUUCAUAUUGUUUCUAAGAGUUCUUAUAUAAUUGAAAAUAUUAAUCCAUUGACAUAUAGGCUACUUUUUCUCCUUCUUGGUUGGUCAUUUGUCUUUUAAUUUUGUUUAUGGGUUCCUUCCUAUAGAGAGGUUUUGAGUUUUUAUAUGUCUAACCAAUCAAUGUUUUACUUUGUAAUUUCUGCCUUUGGUGUCAGAAUUAGGAAGACUUUCUUCAUUCCAGUAUUCAUACAUGUUCGUCUAUAUUUUCUUUUACUUCCAUUGAAAGCUUUAAGAUUUGAAUACUUAAUACAUCUGGACUUUUUUGGGGGGUGUUAGCUGUGACUUAGGGGCCUAUUUUAUUUUUUUCCAAACAGUUAGCUAGUUGUCUCAACAUCAUUACUUGAUAAUUCGUCCUUUCUUCACUUUUAAAAAUACCCCCACUAUCAAAUAUAACUUAUUGGAUGUGCUCGGGCUUUUGGACUUUCUAUUUAUUCCAUAAACUGACUAUUCUGGUCCUAGUGUUUCAGUGUUUUUAAUCACUGAAAUUUUAUCUUGCGAGACACAACUACCCUGAUUAUCUAUAUCUUCCAGAAUUUUAUAUUGGCUAUUUUUCAAAGUUGAAAUUCUAUCAUAUUCUUAUGAAGGCAUCCCCGUUCUCAUGGAUGAACAAAUAAACGUGGAUGGCUCUGACAUGCGCCUUUGUGAAUCCUAAUUAGAACUCUUAUUUGAAGUUGGGUCUUGGCAAAGCUCUAUCUCGGACCUUAGCUGGGUGACUUUUGAAAACUUCUAGUAGAAUGUCCCAUUCCUUACAAUUCUUCCUGUUCUGGAUUCUCAUCAGGCUAGUUCUUUGUAAAGUGGGAGUGUAAAUCCCCGGCAUUGUGGGGGGCAGUGUGCAGUAGGCUCAGAUAACAAAAGGUUUUGCAGGUGAUCCAAGGUUACCAAAUUUUAUUUUGCCACGUAGAAACACAAAAGAAAGAAAGAAUGUGGCAGUCACCAGCUUCUAGCACUAUUGUUUAAUAUAAGAGUACGAUUGAGUUGGUCUUAGAAUAAGAGACAGAACUUCCCAAGACUAGAUUCCUUACAAUGACACCCCCCCGCCCCCAACCCGUUUUCCUCAUUUCACAUUGAACAAAUGAAAACUUGGUGAUGGACCAGCUCUGGUCCACAGCCCGGCGCUUGGGAACCACUGCGCUAGUUUGUAUCUAGGGACCAUUCCAGCUCUUAUAUUCCAUGAUUGCAUGAUUCAAUGUGAAAAGAGAAAAUUUAAUUAGUUGUGUCAUCUUAGGUAACUUCAAUAAUGAGCCUAAUUUAUACCCAUAGGGAUGACAUUGACUGGAAGUUUGUAAUAGGUUAUGGUCACACCUGAAAAAGGUUUUUUACCACCUAAAAGUCUGCACCUACAAUUUAGGAAGUAGAUGAUGCUUUGGUCUUAUGGCUGAAACCUGGUAGUGGCGUGAAACUGAGAUAAAGAUUAAGACCAUUUUAGCUUUGAAAUGUCUAAAGUGAAAUGACGUACUAGGUCUAUUAUACUGUAUGAUUGAACUCUAUAGGGAAUCUCAGUAAAGCGACUCCUAAAGUCAACAGACCCUCACGUCUGAUUCUGCACUUUUUUCUCCUCCCUGUGUCUCCCCUGUCAGAUUCUGGGAGGAGCUACAAAGACCCGUCAAGUCCUCUCUAGACUUAGGAGGAAAGGAUGUGGAAGGCAUCAUCCUGCACCAGCACCAUCUGCUCUGCCUCUGUUUGCAAGCCUGUCUCCCUGCUGGAGGUGCUGGUGCAGACUCAACGUUCAGAAUAACAGAAAAUGGAGCUGCCAGGCACUAGCAUUUGCUAAGUCCUGUAGGGAGAAGGAUGUGUUGUUGACUCUUGUAACACCCGUGUCUGCAGAGAGCACACUCGCCAUCUGAUAAGCUGAGCUGGGCCAAUCAGAUUCCUGGGCCAGGAGUAUCUUUGUACAUUAUUCCAACUAAUGACAGGACAAGAGAGAAGAACUGACAUAAGCAAAAUAUUUCCAAGGAGUAGAGAGGACUCAAAGUAAAGGUCAGAGCGUGGUGAGUUUGGAAGAACCUGAUCCAGGACAAGAUAAUGAUUUGAAUUGUUCUGCCUCUGGCAAUAACUGGUCAUUGUUAGGCUCUUGUGGAAGAUGAAGCUGCAUUUCAUAGUCAACAGAGCCCAUCAGUGGAAUGGGUCAAAUGGGUGGUCUGAAGGGGCAGAGAGCUGCCCACUGCUCAUUGAUUCCAUCAUUUUGACUAGUCAGAGAUCUUAUGGAGGAGAUGGGUGAGAACUCAGGCCUGAUAGCUGAUCACUAAGGGUCCACUGCACCCUAAGAUUCAGCGGCCUUUUCUCUGCAUUGGUUCAGCGCAAUAGCCAUACAGAGAAGGUGCUUUGGGUUCCCUGACUGGGACUGAUAUGUUGGCUUAAAGGCUGCUACGGCGUCAGUUUUAUUUUGUGCAGUGUCAGCCAGCUGGUGUCUACCACAUGGUGGCGCUGUGGGCCACAAAGUGGUUGGCUACACAGGGCUAUUUGGUGCCAUGAGGACUUCUCUGCAAGAGAUAAGAGGGUUCUUCCAGCCUGCACCCUGACUCCAGGACAGGUGGGCAGGACUUGGUAAAUUGUCUUAUGCAGCCAGGCAACUUCUCUAUGAUUAAAAAACAAGAAAACAAAACCUUUAAAGAUUGGUUCUAGAGCAGGGACUUGUCUUGCUUUCCUGCUUAUCCUUGUGUUGCCAAGGCCUAGCUGAGACCCUUGCAUGGAAGGGGCAAUCAGCAAAUAUCGAUGAGUUUCCACAGCCUGUGCUCUCAAGGAGCCUCACUGUUGGGAGGUUUUCCCUGUCCAGGAAAUAUCCAACAUGCAUGGCAACCCCACACUGAGAAAUCCUUAGGACUUUAUUGCUUCUGCAAGUUGCUGCACUGUGUCUCAUUUUGUUUAUAUUUGCAUCUAAUUAACUUGUUUAUACCUGCUGCAGCCAGACCUGGUGGUCUAGUGGUUAGACUAGAUGGACUAGACAGACUCGGAAGGAGGACCUGGCCACUUGCUUCUGAAAAAACUGGCCAUGAAAACCCUAUGAAUGGCAGCUGAGCAUUGUCUGACAUAGCGCCAGAAGAUGAGAGGAUGGCACAAAAAAAGGCCAGGCAGGCUUCUGCUUUGCUGUGCACAGUGACAAACAGAAAUGGCAAGUAAUAGGAUGUAUUAGAGAAUAUGAGGAAGCCAUUUGGUAUAAACCUAAUUCGGCCUGACCUUGUCUUUCCAAAAGGGCCUGACCGUGGCUGUUGAGCAUGCAUUAUAUGUCUGCUUUAGACACUCCCUAUGGCAAGAACAAAGGCCCUUGAGAUAGAGGUGCAACUUCCCUCCCCUUCCCAACGUUGGCAUUUCCUUAAGGAUAAGGCAUCUUUCCUUAGGCUAGGAACUGAUUGCUGUGCUCACCUGUGACCACCCAGCUCGAGACAAUAGGCUUGCCUUCUGCUGCGCCCGCUGAGAUAGCAGACCCACAACCUGCUGUGUCCAUCAAGCGCUGUGCCGACAGGGCAAUCUUGUGACUAUUGUGGGAGGGACAUUUCAAUCAUAUGUGAAACAUCCUGUUUGAGGGUAUAUAACCACUCUGUGCACCCCACUUCUUCGGUGCCCUUUCUUCCUUCGGGAAGAAAGGCCCUGGGCCAUGGUCCUCAGAUUUUAGCUCAGAAUAAACUCUCCCAAAUUUUCAUUUAUAGAUUGGUUAUGGAUUAUUUUCGUCGACAACAGGGUUGCUAGGAGUCUUGAGGGCACUAACAGCAUGCUGCAUCUCCUUCCUUGUUCCAUCAAUUUCUUAGAUUUACUCAGCUAUAACUGAAUCUCAGCUUUGGCUGACAUGUCCUGAGUUGCCCUUGAACUGCCCCCUACUCCUCAACUUGCCAGCACAUAUGCAUCCCACCUCGUCCAUCACCACCACCUCUACCUCCACCACCACCAUUACCACCUCCACAAAUUUAUCCAUGUAAUUCUGGGGAUUGUUGCUCAUUUGUGAAAGCAGCUUCUACUUUAGAGUGAGCAGAAAGGACCUGAAGAAGGGAGUCAGGAGCCCCAAUUUGAAUCCUGACAGCCACACACCUGUUUUGUGACCUUGGGAAAGUCAUGUGACCUUUUGUUUUCUCACCUGUGAAGUGAGGAGGUUGGCAGAGAUGAUCUCCUAGACUUAGAGAAUUCUAGAAUCCCAUGAAUGCCUUAAGCUUUAGAAAUUCACUUUUACCUUUAAAAACGUUAGUCAAUUUACUAAUUAUAACCUGAAAGUCCUUUUGAUAUUUAAAAAAUCCUCAUGCUUUCUCUUUGUUCUUUGAAAAUUUAGAGCUGCCUUGUUUCAUAAUGCCUAAAGCCUGUAUUUAUAAUCAGCAUCUAUUUCAUGGUUCUGAGCCAUUUUUCACAUAAUUGUCUUUUUUUUUUUUUUGCUUUAGAAUUAGUUCUUUUGUGGUUAAUGUAUAGCAGAAAUGAAAUGACUUUUGAAAAAGCCCUUUAGGAAUUAUGGGGUCUGCAGCUGUAUCGCUAGGGGGCCACACAGCUUUGUGAGAGAGCUGGGUCUCAGAAGGGGAAGGCAGCCCCAUUCUUGGGAGAGAGAGAGAGAAAGGAGCAACUGAGGGCAGAGGCAGGUGGUGUGUGGCAGUGGUGUAGACAGGAGUUUGAGGGUGGCCUGGAAGAAGCCAGAAAGGGUGGUCUGGACUCCAGAGGGGAGGGGAUGAGGUGCAUCCAUGAGACCAGCAGGGGCGGCAGGUCACAGGGAGGUGAGAGCUGAGGUGGGUGCAUGUGGAGGUUCUGUUUAUAUGUGGGGCUUUCCGGGCACUCUGGGAAGGAACACUGCCUUACCCAGGACCCACAGAUGGGUAGGUCUAGGGGCAUAUAGGUUUCAUGUAAAUUCUGAGAGAUCUGAGAAGUUUAGGGAGGGCAUCAAAGCAAAGAAUGGGACUUCCUAUUAGUCAAAAGUGUAGAGGUUUGGAGCAACAAUAUUUGGAGUGUGGCUGUAUAUAAAUGAUCACAAAAUUUCUACCCUUUAGCUGCUGAAGGCUAGGUGGCAAACAUACUUGGGUUUAACACCCCAUAACCUUGUGUAUUUUCCUCAUUCUAGAGUGUGGAUUCAGGCAUUCUCAACACAUUCUUUAGUCACAUGGGUGGGUUGCCAGUUUCCACCUAGAAGGGGUUUAGGGGCGCCAGUCUGAGCGGGGGGUGAGGACUGGAGGCCUCAGUGAAGUUGCAUGAGCUGAGGAACACUCCGUGCUUUGCUUGGAUUGUAUGCCGUUAGAGUAAGUGAAAAUAGAAAAUGAAAAGAUUUUCACUCUCAUUCUUAAAUGAUAGAAUAUUUAGGUAUAGAAUACUAGGAUGAGAACCGCUUUCCACCAUUACGUUAAAGAUACGGUUCCACUGUGUUCUGGAAAACUCUGUCAUCACUCCAGAUGCUGUUGCUUUGUAGUCGAUCUGUCCUUUUGCUUAAGUUAAGUUUAAGAUGUUCUCUUUAUCCCUGCAGUUCUACCACUUUGCUACGGUGUUUCUAAGUAAGGGGUGAUGUGAUUUGUCUAUACUUACCGUGCUACAGUGUGAUUUUAAAUCGGAGGCUUCCUAUCUUUUUAAAAAACUUAAAAAAAAUUGAAGUAUACUGAAUAUAAAGCUAAAUGGGGUAAUUAACUGGAUUUUGUAGAGGCAGUUCUAGGAUUUUUUUCUGCAGAUGGUUGGCCAGUUCCAUUUGCAAAACAAAUAAUAGCAGCUCACACUGACCGGGCAUUUAGUGUGCAAUAAGUACCUCAACGAGAGAAAUUAUUAUUUCCCCAUUGCACAGAGUGGACUACUGAGCCUCCGACAGGGUCAAGCUCCCAUGACUAUAAAUGACAGAGGCAGGGUUUGAACCCAGGGCAAUUGGCUUUAGCAGCUGCUGUCCUUAACUACCUUGCUAUGCUUCCUUUUGACAUUAGCCUAAAGUUUUCAAACAUUUGGUCUGCUCAUUUUUCUUUUUUAAAACUUAUUUUUAUUAUAUUUGGAGAGGCUCUUGGGUGCUAAUGACGAUUAUCUGAAGGGGACAAGCACCUCCACCCGUCACCAGGUUCUCCUACCCUCAGGUUUGAAGCCAUUUCCCCAAGCACGUGUCUGCCCGGCUUGCCCCGUAAACGCCACUCCUCUGCCUCAGAAAGAAGCACUCCUGCCGGGGGAACCUCUAGGGUGUGCGGGGCCCUGGGGCAAGUAUUUUUCAUGAGACUGUCUACAUAAACAAUUUGAUGAAAACAAAGAAUUACAGAAUUCAUGGGUUCAUGUGUGACCUAGUGAUUUGUUGAUAGCAGCCUAGAAAAAUAGGUGGAGAAGAGGUACUGACAGAUUUGUUUAUUGUCCAGUCAGUGUGUGCGAAGACUCUUUGUAGUGACCUGACACCAUCUCAUCCUGUUCAGGUCCAGGAACCGUCUCUCCGUGUUCUUUAUUGUCAAAUACACCAUCCCUGGCUGAUUUCACACCCCUCGUCAUGAGGGAAAGGCAGCAACCUGCUAUUGCUCCCAAUGCUGUGGCUGUUGGUAUUGCAACAAUAUAGAUCUGCCUGUCUCUGCAAUUCCCUGCUGCCUGUUACUGAAUGCUGUCGCAUUGUUACUUCUGGUGCUGCAUCUGUAUCGUGCCCACUGUGAAUACCGGCUUCCAAGGACUCUCUCGAAUGUUGUCACAGUGCGUUGUUGUUAAUGAGCACAAACACAAAUCUUACCCAGAGUACACAGGAAAAUGAGAAUAGUCAUUUUCUGUUUCUUGUUAAAUUUACCAUUUGGAAUUUUGUAACGUAAACGUAGAACACGUCUUUUGAUCAUGCCCUCUCUUAAAAUGUUUAGGCUUUAAUAACUGUGUUUCUAGAAUGUGGUCUCUUUCAAAGUUGACACAGCGUUGCGUGCAGGGAGGAUAAACGAGGGGGUGGGGGUGGAGUGAGAAGAGCAAGGCGCGUCCCUCGUGCAAGGCAAGUCCGUAUGGUGUUCUCUGCCAUGGCUUAAGACUGACCCAGGAGAGCACGAGGUCACCAUGCUGACUGGAGGCAAGAGAGGGCCCAUUUGUGUUGCAAAGCAACAGUCUCAAAAGCCCUUUGAGGAUACAGGUGAGACCAACCACCCCCAGAGGGCUUCUGGACACUUGGCAUGGAGCCUGUGAGAGCAUGGGAGACUUCCCUGGGUGCCGACAGUCGGGGGCACACAGGGUAAAUGACCCCUGCUGCUUCUGAUGUUGUAGAUCUGAGGUGGCACUGAGGAUAGAACAUGGAAGGAUGAGAGUUGACACAUGGGCCCACACACGUCCCUGAAAUUAUUCUGUGAAAAAUGAGAGUAAGUGUCACCCCAGAUCAGCAUGUUAGUACCAUUUUAGGGGCCCAAUCUUGCAUGAUCCUGCAGAGAAAUGUUGCACCAACUAGCGUGGUCUGCUUGCCUGGCUGCUGUCCUGGAACUGGGGGCACAUAGGCACAAGUCCCAGAGCUCUUUUGUGCAUCUGAUCCACCCCACAUUCAGGAUAGAGAGUCAGAAACCACUGAGAAGGGGAGAAACGGGCUGAGUUCUCUGCGUCCUGGCCUGGGCUUGAGGAGCCCUGUCAGAUGGCACAGGUGGCUCCAGCCAGUUCCGCGCCCUGGAGGGGGACUUAGAAAAUUUCAAGGAAGGCAUUUAAGAGUAGAGCCCCAUGAGGCCUGGGGCCCCUCGUCUGCCCGGCUGGGCCAUGGAUUGCUCCUGCCCUUCUCAUCAAGAUGACUGCGUCUGCAUUUGCAGCUGAGGAGGCAGCCCUAGCCCCCGGAACGCCGGGCACAGGAAGAGAAGCAAGGCUGGUGAGCUCCGGUUUGACGGCUCAGGAUGGACGCAGAUCCUUCCAGUUAGGUCCCUUGUUUGAUACAAUCACCGCUUUUCCCGAAGGUCCUUGGAUAAGUUCUAUCAACUCUGGAAAUACCCUCUGCUCACAAGCAAGUGAUGCUGCCACAAGGUUCUCCAAGCCCAUAGGAAACUAAGUGCAUUUACCCUGGAGCUCAGAUACAAGUCUAUGCGCACGAGAGUAGAAGAAAAUCAAAUGACAACCAUUACACUGCAUCUAGAAUCAUCCCUAUUCAUCUUGAAGUAAACUUGUUCUUUCUCACGUUUCUUCCUCUGAGAUGGGAUUUUCUAGGACAUUCUUUAGUCCUUAUGCUCCCCAAGUCUACUAAACCCAAGUGGCACAGUGGAUAUUUCUGUGGGAGCUGUACCUGUCCGUUCCUGGCCUGGGAGUCCAUGUUUGUUUUGAUUAGGAUGCAUUGGCUUUAAGUCAUAGUAAAUCCCAACUGAAAUUGGGUUAAGCAGUAAAGAAGUUAAUUGUUGUACAUUACAAAAACUUUAGAGAUGGGAUCUCUGCAGGUGAGGAACAUAAAUUAGAACUCUGGCUCCACUUCCCUAGGCUUCUCUUGUUCUGCCCUCCUCCAUGUGUUGCCUUCAUCUUCAGGCCAGUAGCAACCUGGCUUCAAUACUUCUAAUCAUCACAUCUACUCAUGAUUAUGCUUAGAUGGAGGAAGAAGGUGUGUGUGUGCAUAUGUGUAUGUGUGUGUGUGUGUAUAUUGGUGGAUGGGGCUGUCUGUUUUACUGUCUUCUCAUUAGGAGCAAAGAAACAUUUCUUAGAAUCUUCCAAGGCUUUCCUUUAUGAAUCACUAGUCAAAACUGGGUUGUAUGCUCCAUCCCCUAAACCAAUCACUGGGAAGGGGAAUGAGUCACAAUGAUUGACUUAAGCCAAACAGAAUAUAUCCCUUGAGCUAGAGAUAGGGCCAUAGGAGGGAGAGUGGAUACACUUCUUUAACUAGAAAAAGUGAUGGUAGUAGAAUGGAUGUUGAGUAGGCAAGCCAACAGUUCCUGUUACACAGGGACAUAACUGAUAGGAUCACCUUCACAGAGAGCUGAAAAAUUUUUCGUUGGCUAGUGGUCAAUCUGAUUUUCUUUCUUGAGAAAAAUUUAAACUAAGAGAAACAUAUCUUCUGCUUAGGUGGUAGUCAAUACUUAACUAAAAAUUCAUGUGCCAUUGGGUCUGGGUGGGGAAACAAUUUUUACUUGAUGAAGACGCAUAUGGUAGGGAGAGCCAGAAUCAUGGAGUGGUUUUCUAUUCCUUGCAUACAGAAAGUCUUGACCAUGAUGUUCGUAUAUGUUUGCAUCUCAGGGUAAACACAGUGUAAGUUUAAGCUGGGCCCUCUGCCUUCCUAGUGUGUGUAUAUUUGCAAUUCUCAAACUAAUGAAGAAAUUCCAGAUGGGUAAAGAUUACUAAAGCUAAGAUAGUGCUUGCUCUUUGAGACUUACCUGUUCUUGAGUGUCUGGAUAAAAUCCUCAGUGGUAUUUGUCUGGGAGUCUCCACUUAAUAAGGUCAACAAUACGUCCAGUUCCUCAGACCUGACUCUUUUCCACUGAGAGAAUCCUGGGUGACUCACACAGUCUUCUGAGCACAAUGAGAGCUGGAACUGUCAGUAUCUUCUAUGCUUGUCCCCUGAAAGCCUUGAUCACAGUUUCUGUUGCUACUCUUCAUCAGGUCCUUAAUUUGGAAUGAUAGUUUAGCUGGGUGUAAAAUUCUAGCUUGACAGUUGUUUUCCCUCUUAACUUUGAAGCUAUGAUUAUAAAGUCUUCUGGCAUUUGUUGGUGCUGAUGUCAGUCUCAUUGCCAAGGAGUGGUAAUAAAUAUUUUUUUUCUUUGCUUAUUUUAGGAUGUUCUUUUUAUUGCUGAUAUUCUACAUUUUCAUGACAAUGUAUGAAGUAAAGCUUAAUUCUGCUCAGGAGACAAUGUGUUUUCAACACUAGGACAUAUGUCUUUCUUCAAAUGUAGAGAUAUUUCCUCUUCCCGAUUCUGACCAGUCUUCUUUUUUGGAAUUGAAUUAAGUGCAUGUUAAAGCUCCUCAUCCUGUGUGUCAUGUCACUAAAAUAUUUUUCAAGCAUUAUAUCUCUCUCUUUCCUUGUGUUGGGUCAUUUCCUUUGCUUGCUCUACUACGUCAGCAUUGCUGUGUCUAGUCCAUUAUUUAACUUAACUAUGAUUCUUAUAUCAAUGACUAUAUUUUAAAUUGUCACCAUUUUUAUUUGGUUCAUUUAAAAUUAUCACCUGUACUUUUUUCCCCAAUUAUUUUUUUUGGGUGAGAUUUAAAGUAUACUUAUUUUACAAUCUUUUAUAUUUUUCUAUUAGUUGGAGAUCCUGAGAUGUGAUUUCUCUUGGUUGUCUCAUAUGGUGACUUUCUCAUCAUGGUUUGUUUCCUCACAUGCUUUAUAAUUUUCAGUAGUGAACUUGUCUUUAGUGAAAGAUGUUUUAGUAUGAGAAGCUUGUAUAACUCCUG
Molecule: long non-coding RNA, 11415 nt
Organism: Equus caballus (horse)
Lineage: Eukaryota; Metazoa; Chordata; Mammalia; Perissodactyla; Equidae
Source: Ensembl